Molecule: long non-coding RNA, 395 nt
Filed under: Capsicum annuum
Lineage: Eukaryota; Viridiplantae; Streptophyta; Magnoliopsida; Solanales; Solanaceae
Description: long non-coding RNA (CANN_LNC012267)
Source: RNAcentral
UGGACAUGUUUUUUGAUAGAAUCCCUCUCUUAAUCCGCCUAAGACCUCCGGUUCUACAUGUUCUUCUGCAGUCUGAGGUACCUGUUGUUCCGCAUCCUGAGGUACAUGCUGUUCAUUAGCCUGAGGUUGCUGUUGUUCUGCUGUCUGAGGUACAUGUUGUUCUGCAUUCUGAGGUACGUUUUCUUCUUUAGUAUGAGGUUGUUGUUGUUCGAUAUUCUGGUGUUGCUGUUGUUCUGCAGUCUGAGGUACAUUAUGUCCGGUGACACCACGCGCAAAUGCACCUACAACUUUCUGGGUGCCUUUAAUGAGGUGGUGAAAACCGAAAGCCAUAGAACCACGGGCAUGAAACUUCUUCCCCGUCUUGUGAUGACUCAUGAACAACUUCUUCCAUCCCG